AUGUUUAACUGGAUAUAUUUUAUUGCUGUCUAAUGCAUUAUUGGUUGGUAAUAUAUAUAUAUAUGUAGACAUAUAUGUUGAACAAGUUCAAGGAAAGUAAUGGGACAUUUAAGGAAUUUCUUAUGAGCGAUGUAGUAGGACUAUCAAGUUUGUACGAAGCCACUCAUCUUAGGGUUCAUGGAGAAGACGUACUUGAUAUAUGAGGCACUAUACUUCACCAGGACUCUUCUCGAGUCUGCAGCACACCGUUUGAACUCCCCGUUAUUGAAACAAGUAACUCAUGACUUAUAUCAGCCACUUUGGAAGAGCUUUCCAAGGAUAGAAGCAAGGCAUUACUUCGUACAGAGUUGAUAGUCAUCGCUCGAUCAUAAGAAUUUCCUUAAAUGUCCCAUUACUUUCCUUGAACUUGUUGAAUAUAUCUACAUGUAUAUUACCAACCAAUAAUGCUUUAGACAGCAAUAUGAUAUAACCAGUUAACAUGCGAACGUACGUACAUAGCAAUCUGUCUAGUAAACAGAUAAAAGUUAUUUUAUAUAGUGCUAUUAGAAAUUAAUGAAAGAAAGAAUGACAAAUUUACCGCACAGGAAAAGUUGUAGCCUUGUUGUCUUUUUUGAACAAUUGCAGCCUCGUUGUCUAAGCAAUCGAAAACGGAGAUCAGUAGAGUAAAGGUCAUCAUCACACAGUGAUGAUUCACACUGAAAUUCUGCCGACUCUUGCAAAGUUGGAUUUCCACCGUGUGCAAAGAAUCCAUCAGAAUGAACUUGUGGUGGAAGGACUUGGACGUUGUAAACAGCCUACUUUUCGUAAGAGACAGGAUAAUUAUUUUGCCCUUUGGGAGUCUACUUUGGACUUGAAUAUUCGUUCGCAAUUCAAUUUGAAGUUAAAGCUUACUUCCAUGAAGCCAUAAAUGGUUGAAGGCAAUGCAUCCUUCUUUACGAUGGCAACCACAGCCUUUGUUGGAAUGGGAGCUCUCCUUACAAAAGACUCCAUGGAUUGGGUGUUUAAUGACCCCAAGAUUUUAAAGGCUACAUCUGUAAUUUUCAGAAUCCUGAAUGACAUGGUUGGCCACAAGGAACUUUUAAUUUAUGUGCAUAGCAUGCACUUACUAAAAACUAGAAUAAGUUCUAUAUGCAUACGAAUCCAUCGUAUAACUGCAUCUACAUAGUUUGAGUAAAAGAGAGAACACCAUGCCUCAUCAGUGGAAUGCUACAGGAAUCAAUACAACGUCACAGUAGAAGAAGCGAAAUUAAAUCUAGCUAACCAAUUAAGCAAGUCAAUGCAUUGGUUCUUGCAGGCAUAAAUCUUGCUUUUGCAUUUCGGCGCCCUUCUCUAUUUCUUUUAUAGAAGUUAUGAUUCAUGUUCUGUUCAUAAGCCAAAGAGUUGGAGAACAUUUAGUAGUCCUUUAAAUCAGUUGGGAUGACUUUGCAUAUGAAUGCUAGAAACCAAAAAGCAUGCUUUGAUACAAAUUUCACUCAUCUGGUGUAGUGAUCCAUGAUCCAUGAAGAUGAAGUGAUCCUAUGAAAGGAGAAGAAAGGAGAAGAUCAAGGCUGGAAUUAUGGACAGCCAACUAUUAGAUAGUUUUUAUAUGGAUUGGCUCGAUGUUAUUUGUAUCAUGUAUUCAUGUGGUUUGAGGAUUGUUGAGUAGUCCCUACCUUAUAGUAUUGUAGAUUUGAAGAAGGUGAAAUUUUAAUUUUGUUUUUAUUUUUUUUUAAUUUUGAAAUAUAUGGAGUCACCAAUAAAAAUUGGUGGAUAACAUGAAGUAGAAUAGUAAAAUCUGAAGGGAGUCACCAAUUCUUAUGUUGGUGAGUUGUGGGACCCAUUUCAUUA
Rosa rugosa (rugosa rose) is the source of this 1827-nucleotide long non-coding RNA. RefSeq lists it as uncharacterized. The record is from RefSeq and is a predicted model, not a curated record. NCBI's taxonomy places the organism in Eukaryota, Viridiplantae, Streptophyta, Magnoliopsida, Rosales, Rosaceae. The transcript has 2 exons.